Long non-coding RNA from Amphiprion ocellaris (clown anemonefish), 5927 nucleotides. RefSeq lists it as uncharacterized. The record is from RefSeq and is a predicted model, not a curated record. The transcript has 2 exons. Lineage: Eukaryota; Metazoa; Chordata; Actinopteri; Pomacentridae.
AGCGGAAGUGUUCCCAGACAGUUUCGAUGCCUGCCUCGGCAUGCCCAGCAAUUAUGUGACUACCGAGAGCGAGGCCUCUUUACACAUUACUAUUACUACCACCAAUACUACCAAUAGUAGUUAUAAAGCCUAACUCAUAUAUAUCCAGAUUACCAUCUAUGUUCUUCCUCCAAACCUAUUUUAUGAUUCAGAUUACAGGCAGUUCUUUAGGACUGCUCUCAAAUAAUUGAAAUGUUACUAAACAAGGUUAUACUUAUCAAAUUAAAUAGCUCUGGUCUCCAGUAUAUUGGCGAAUUCAGUUCGUUGUACUUAAUUUAUUAGCAUGAUUUCUUUUUAAUAUGUUGUGUACAGACUUAAUUACUUCUCUGUCUACUUUUCUUACUCCAUGUAGGUUUCCCAGAGACUAUGGGUUGAGGAGGAAUUGGAAGUUUGUCGGCUUAGACCUGGUGUCAUUCCAUCAGUGUUAAACUUCCCGGCUCAUCUUGGAAGAGUACGUGCCAGAAAGACCACGACCAAGCAGCCUUGAGAUCUUAGACAGCGUCUCCCUGAGACCAAAGAACUACAGACUCUUCACAACCUGCUCAAACUCUUGGUACAGGACCUCACCACAUGGGUCAAGAAGGUUUCCAUCUCAUUUCUACUCUGAAGCUCACCUUCUCCUGCUCAAACUGCUGACAGAUGUUUCUGCUGCUCUAAAGUCUGGUCUCCAGAACUUCCUAAAAACUCUCAAAGUCUCUUCUGCUGCAGGUUGCUUUGUAGAACUGUUCCAGAAAACCUCACUAAACCACAUGGAGGGGCCUCAAGAUAGUCGUCCAAAUGAAACCAUACAAAAACCAAACUAGCACAACCCAAACUCUAAAGUCUCCUGCAGCCUACCAGAGAACCUCUGAGAACAGAGAAUCAGGACAGGAACUCUUACCUUCUGGACAACCAACGCUGUUCACAAACAAGAAUACAGGAUGUGUCUGACCAAAAACCUCUGAAGACUCACUACAGCCAAGAUAAAGACACAACUCAGCUGUACCAAAUCCACUAAUCACUGCACACAUUAGCACCAUGUGCUAACUGUGGCUAAAGAACCACAUUUACCAAGACAACUAUCCAGUACAAAGCCCUAAAACACACCAAGAAACACAUUAAAGAUGAUUUUACUGCUGGAAGCUGCAAGCCAACGCCUAAAGAACAAGCUAAAGCAACGGAACCAAACCCAGUUCAGUGGUGAAGAGAAGCAGAGGAAAUGUUUGGCUGCAGCUAAAUAAAGCAGGAAGACACUGAGCUGCUCAGGUGUUCCUGAUAACACCAAGCAGCUACCUGGACAGCCAAUAGGAACACAGCUUCCUGGAAGUCCAGAGGGCUGGCUUAGUGAAGGAAAUUUAAUUUAAAGUUGAAGCAGAAAGUUAACAAAGAAAGUUGAAAACCACCUUCUGAUCCCUGAAAUCUCUGAGUUUUCACACAAAGAACACCUGAACAUGUCAAACUGGUUCCAUAGUAGAACCAUCAUUGUAAAAACGUCAUAGUAUGGUGUGUUGCUCAAAAACAUUAGGACCCAGCUGUCAGGGGACAAACAUGUAAGAACCAUGAGAACAGAGAGAAUCCAACCAGUAGGUCACAGUUUAUCAUCAUCUAAUCAUCUCCUGAAGUCCAUAUGGUGAGAGACAUCAGUAUCUGGUUGUUAAUUUACCAGAGGAUGCUUAUAAUCAUGCUGAUGUGGUCUGUACUCUACAGUAUUUUAGUGACUCAAUAAAUGCCUAAGUUGUUUUUUUUUUAAAAUGCUUUUUAGUUUUUAAUAAACAUUUAAUAGCCUAUAUGUAAUCAAUAAAUGGCCUUUGCCUAUCUUUUUUUUUUUUUUAAGUUAUUUUUUUGGCCUAUUUUCGGCUUUAUUUUAGGCGCAGUGAGAGAGACAGGAAACAGGGGAGUUUAAAAUGAUGCCACCUCUUUUCAGACAGAACCUGUGAUAAUAAAACAAUACAACAUUUUUAGUUCCGUGUUAAUAAAGCACUUAAAGCUUUAAGUAUGGCUAAAUGCUUUUUUCAAAAUUAAAUAUAUCACUCCUUAGGCGGUAGUGGCCCCAAGUUCAGUAAAGUUGGAAAGAUAUUCACAGAUUCGGACUCCCAGCAUCAGUAACUCAUUAGAUAUAGGUUGUCAAAACAUAAACGGUGCCUCUUUCCCAUUGUUGCAAGGCAGACAAUGUGCUACAAGCCCAGUUUUAUCAAAAGUAGCUGUCUUUCAAGCUACAGGAAUAACAUUGGUGUCUAUGGAGUGAACAGGGUCCGUCUGCAAUUUGCAAAACCACUGCAACAGUAAAGAGAGACAAAUAUUCAAUAACUUCACUCUUAUACAUUGUAGUGUCACUAAAAUCACUGCAGCCUUCAACUGGCUCCUGUUGACAAAGUGUUUUAACAGAAAUGUAAAUGCUGUAAUUUGAUUCUUUUAAUGAACCAUGUAACUUGAAUGGAUGUGAUGCUGGUGUGACCACAGUGCACACGUCUGAUGUUGCUCACAGUGGUCCAAGGGACGCUCAGGGAGUUUGUGUGUUUGCUCAGACUCAUGGAAAAUUAGAGGGAACAUUGCUGGGUAUCACGUCAAACUGUAUCCAAACCUCUUCAGGAUGGUCAAAAAAUAUCUCCACAUGCCAGCAACAUCUGUGCCAUGUGAGCGGGUCUUCUCCAAAGCUGGAGAGGUCGUCAGUCACAAAAGAAACAGACUGAAACCAUGCACUCUAGUUUACAACCCAUUUAUACUGCCACAAUGGCAAACUUGCAGAAGCACUACCAUUCACUUCCACAUCACAUAAUACUUGUGUCCCACACAAAGUAGCACAAGCACUUUCCUGUCCUCCAGUACCUCUAUACACACCAUAUGUAUGUAUAUCUAUACACAUACACACACAUUUAAAUAUAUAUACAUAUAUUUAUAUACAAAAACACAUAUACAUGCAUGCAAACAAACAUAUAUAACGUUUUAAAAAGUUUAUUGCAAGUACAAAGCAGUGUGAGACCAGCAGUCCUGGGGCUUUUUCAGUUUUUUCCGCUUAGAUGCAGUUCUGACACAGAGCCAGCAGAUGUCACUCUUCUGGUUGUGUCAAACGCUUCGAAGCAGUGUGUCGUUCUUGAAGCAGUGUGUCGUUCUUGAAGCAGUGUGUCGUUCUUGAAGCAGUGUGUCAAAGUGGUUCACUGCUUCAUGAAGCUUCGAUUUCACCACUACUAGUUGUACCUGACAGCGACAGUUUCCUUUAAGUUAGCCGCAGUUAGCUUCGGCUACACGGACGCUCAGUGGCGCCGUCUAACCGCCAGGAGGCUGAAUUUAAUCAGACAAACACACCAAAACAUCACCACCCUCCUCUGGACGAGUUAGCAGUUAGCAGUCGGCUAAAGUCCAGCAUCUUUAUUUACCUUCUUCUUCUUCUUCGGGUCUGAUUUGCGGAGCAGCGACCGCAGCAGAGGCGCUGCUGCCCCCACAGGCCGCUCAUAGAAUUAUACAUUUACAGUUAAAUCCUGCUGCAGAUUCUGUUGCUUCACGAUUAUUAGAUGGUUGAUUGAUUGAUUCAAACUUUUUUAAAAAAAAUCAUAAACUCUGGAUAUUUUCAAUUAUGCCUGUGAAAUGUUGUUGUGAUAUAUCCAAUACUUUCUAAGAUAAAUUGGUUAAAAAUUGCCCAUUUUAGCAUUUUUUUCCCCUUACAUUGAAAUCUGAGUCUGUUUGAACAACAAUAUCUGAGGAACUAUUAAAGACAAAAACCUGAAAUUUUCUCUCUUAUUUCCCAUCAUGUCACUGAUUUAGAAUCUGGAAUAUUGGACAGUAGAUCAAUAAUCUCUGAUUAGAGUUGAAAUAUGAAAAAACAGAUUUCAGGUAAUUUGAGACAACUUUGAAUCACUUUUUUGUGCAAAUUUGUGCCGUUUUAUUCACAUAUUUGGUGUCAUUUUGGACACUAUGAGUAAUUUUGGAAAGUUUCAAGUCACGAACGACAAGAAACACAUAAUUUUAUCUCUGAUUUUCCUGAUUUGUAUGAUAAAAUAUGGAUUUUUAUUUUUUAAAAAAUUGAAAUUAGAUUUGUUUUAUAGUAUGUUUUUUUCACAUUAAAUCUGUUUGAACAACAACAUCUGAGGAACUGUUAAAGAUAAAAACCUGACAUUUUCUCUCUUAUUUCUCAUCAUGUCAUUGAUUCAUAAUCUGAAAUAUUGAACAAAUAGAUCAAACAAUCUCUGAUUAUGGCUGAAUUGAAAUAUGAAAAACAAACUGUCUUGAAAAGUCAAAUUUUUGAGCUCAUUCAUUUAAAAAAAUGAUAAACAGAAGUGAACUGGUGAUAUUUUAUGUAGCUGCAGGUCACAAUAAUACAAAACUAAACAUGUAGAACACUUUAAAUAUGAAAUAUUUGGUCCAAAAAAUGAAAAGUUAUUUUCAUUUAAGUUUGAGCAGGUUUGACAAAGUUGUAGCAUAAAAACAAAACAUAAAAUAUUGCCAAAUCCAAGUAGAACAGAGUUCAGAGGUUUAACAAUUGUUCUUCAAAUGUAAAUAAGAAAAUAAUUUGCAGUUUGUAGGCUGGAGAAACACAGUUACCAGUUAGACUUAUGAUUUAUGUACUUAUUGGAGGAGAUGCUUGAAGGUAGAGUUCCUGUAAAUUUACAGUUUUUUAAAAACUUUUCAAGAAACUUAAAAUUAACAGAUGCCAUUUUAAAUAAUAGAUCAGAGCUGACCAAGCAGAAGGAAACUGAUGAUCUGAGAUGGAAUAGACCCAUAGUCAAACUCUGUGGAAGUAAUUCUACUUUUUAAGUGACGUGAAUUCAAAAUAAACUCCUUCUCCUUGUUUUUCUUUCUAGCAGUGUAAAAUCUGCUGUGGCAUCAGGAAGUGUCUGAGGUUGUGCUGCUGGUGUCGUCUUUGUCCUUCGUACAGAUGUAAGUACAGAUGUUCUCCUGGUUCUUUAUUAUGACGGGUUUCUUUCCACACUUUGUGCAUUUCUAAAAAUGAUCACUUUGUAGACAUUUAACACAAGAGAAGAGAAAACAAACAGAACAUAAGAAGCAGACGGUUUCUUUAGUCCUUCUUCCGUCCUUUAACUUGUGUUUGUGUCGAUAAUGGAAGUGAAUAUUUGGUGUUGACAGAAAAUAAUAAAACCCUCAUCAUUAGUGAGAAAAACCCAAACAGAGCAAACCGACUGUAAAGAUUUGAACCGUAGCGUCUCAGUGGGAGUUUCACAUCUACUAGGAAUCAUUCACUCCCUCUGUGCAGAUAUUUAUGCUUCAGUGCAGCAGAUUUACACGACCGUUCAAAAGUUUGGGGAUAAUUCCAUGAAAACUCCCACUUUUAUCCAUGUGCUAACAUAACUGCACAAGGGUUUUCUAAUCAUCAAUGAGCCUUUCAACACCAUUAGCUAACACAAUGUAGCAUUAGAACACAGGAGUGAUGGUUGCUGGAAAUGUUCCUCUGUACCUCUAUGGAGAUAUUCCAUUAAAAAUCAGCUGUUUCCAGCUACAAUAGUCAUUUACCACAUUAACAAUGUCUACACUGGAUUUAUCAUUCAUUUAAUGUUAUCUUCACUGAUAAAAAAUGCUUUUCUUUCAAAAAAUAAGGACAUUUCUAAGUGACCCCAAAUUUUGAACAGUAGUGUAUCUGUUGACAAAAUCAGGAAUAAAACAAAAGACUCUACUAUAAAUUAAAGAUGAAUCUCAUUCUAUAAAGCACAAUAUUGAAACAGUUGUUCCAAAGUACUGAUCAUAUUUUAUUGGUGUCAUUAAACCCAUCUUUUAAAACAGUCUUUAUUUUCUAUACGUUGUCCUACCUUUAAUUACACGUCUGCCACUGUUUCCUUCACUUUCGUCUAAAUCUGUCACAAUUUUGUCAGUUUUUAUGUCAAACUCUCCACUAAAAUACAAUUUAAAGAUUCUUAUUAAUCUAAAAUAUCACUGCAAUGACAGUAAAAUAUUAGUAUUUU